RNAcentral lists this ribosomal RNA (254 nucleotides) under uncultured bacterium. RNAcentral describes it as "partial 16S ribosomal RNA". It matches the Rfam family "Bacterial small subunit ribosomal RNA", at positions 524 to 777 of the family's 1533-position model. The record is from RNAcentral.
GACGAACCGUACGAACGUUAUUCGGAAUCACUGGGCUUAAAGGGUGCGUAGGCUGCGCAGCAAGUUGGGUGUGAAAUCCCUCGGCUUAACCGAGGAACUGCGCCCAAAACUGCUGUGCUCGAGGGAGAUAGAGGUGAGCGGAACUUAGGGUGGAGCGGUGAAAUGCGUUGAUAUCCUAAGGAACACCGGUGGCGAAAGCGGCUCACUGGAUCUCUUCUGACGCUGAGGCACGAAAGCUAGGGUAGCGAACGGGA